UAAAGAUCAAACCCAUCUGAGGUGAAGGUCAAGGCUAGUCCAAGGUAAAGAUCAAACCAUCUGAGGUGAAGAUCAAGGCCAAUCCAAGGUAAACAUCAAGGCCAAAUCGAGGUGAAGAUCAAGGCCAAACCAAGGUGAAGAUCAAGACCAAUCCGAGAUAAAGAUUAAAUGAAGUCAAGGCAAAGAUCAAGGCUACGUAAAAUCAAAGAUUAAAUAGAGCCAAGGCAUAAAUCAAUACUAAACUAAGAUAAAAAAUCAAGACUGAAAUGAAGUCCGAUGCCAAGAUGA
This 288-nucleotide long non-coding RNA is filed under the name Elaeis guineensis (African oil palm). RNAcentral's name for it is "long non-coding RNA (EGUI_LNC016145)". Lineage: Eukaryota; Viridiplantae; Streptophyta; Magnoliopsida; Arecales; Arecaceae. The record is from RNAcentral.